GCCAGCAUGGCAUAGUGGUUUCAGUGUUGAACUAUGACUCCAGAGACCAGGGCUCAAUUCCCAGCUUGGCC
This 71-nucleotide transfer RNA is filed under the name Phrynosoma platyrhinos (Desert horned lizard). Its description in RNAcentral is "tRNA-OTHER". Lineage: Eukaryota; Metazoa; Chordata; Lepidosauria; Squamata; Phrynosomatidae. The record is from RNAcentral.